RNAcentral lists this ribosomal RNA (475 nucleotides) under uncultured bacterium. RNAcentral's name for it is "bacterial SSU rRNA". It matches the Rfam family "Bacterial small subunit ribosomal RNA", at positions 335 to 799 of the family's 1533-position model. The record is from RNAcentral.
ACUCCUACGGGAGGCAGCAGUGGGGAAUAUUGCACAAUGGGCGCAAGCCUGAUGCAGCCAUGCCGCGUGUGUGAAGAAGGCCUUCGGGUUGUAAAGCACUUUCAGUCGUGAGGAAGGCGGGUACGUUAAUAGCGUAUUCGUUUGACGUUAGCGACAGAAGAAGCACCGGCUAACUCCGUGCCAGCAGCCGCGGUAAUACGGAGGGUGCGAGCGUUAAUCGGAAUUACUGGGCGUAAAGCGCAUGCAGGUGGUUUGUUAAGUCAGAUGUGAAAGCCCGGGGCUCAACCUCGGAAUAGCAUUUGAAACUGGCAGACUAGAGUACUGUAGAGGGGGUUAGAAUUUCAGGUGUAGCGGUGAAAUGCGUAGAGAUCUGAAGGAAUACCGGUGGCGAACGGCGGCCCCCUGGACAGAUACUGACACUCAGAUGCGAAAGCGUGGGAGCAAACAGGAUUAGAUACCCCGUGGUAGGACAGUG